UUGUACAUAAGUGUGUUCUCUGACCAUGUGAAAUGAAAUUACAAAUCAAUAACAGAAGGAAAUUUAAGACAUUCACAAAUAUGUGGUAAUUAAAUAACACACUCCUGAUUAACCAGAGUCCAGGAUUAAAUCACAAAGCAAUUACAAACUACUUUGUAAUGUCAAUAAUAAUUGCAUACAAUGAAAGAAGUGCUCACAUGAAAAUUUAUAGCUGUU
Aethalodelphis obliquidens (Pacific white-sided dolphin) is the source of this 216-nucleotide long non-coding RNA. RefSeq lists it as uncharacterized. Lineage: Eukaryota; Metazoa; Chordata; Mammalia; Artiodactyla; Delphinidae. The record is from RefSeq and is a predicted model, not a curated record. The transcript has 3 exons.